UGGGGAAUUUUGGACAAUGGGCGAAAGCCUGAUCCAGCAAUGCCGCGUGCAGGAAGAAGGCCUUCGGGUUGUACACUGCUUUUGUACGGAACGAAACGGUCUGCCCUAAUACGGCGGGCUAAUGACGGUACCGUAAGAAUAAGCACCGGCUAACUACGUGCCAGCAGCCGCGGUAAUACGUAGGGUGCGAGCGUUAAUCGGAAUUACUGGGCGUAAAGCGUGCGCAGGCGGUUAUAUAAGACAGUUGUGAAAUCCCCGGGCUCAACCUGGGAAUUGCAUCUGUGACUGUAUAGCUAGAGUACGGUAGAGGGGGAUGGAAUUCCGCGUGUAGCAGUGAAAUGCGUAGAUAUGCGGAGGAACACCGAUGGCGAAGGCAGGUUACUGGACCAUUUCUGACACUAAGGCACGAAAGCGUGGGGAGCGAACG
RNAcentral lists this ribosomal RNA (427 nucleotides) under uncultured bacterium. Its description in RNAcentral is "bacterial SSU rRNA". It matches the Rfam family "Bacterial small subunit ribosomal RNA", at positions 355 to 774 of the family's 1533-position model. The record is from RNAcentral.